This 250-nucleotide ribosomal RNA is filed under the name uncultured bacterium. RNAcentral's name for it is "partial 16S ribosomal RNA". It matches the Rfam family "Bacterial small subunit ribosomal RNA", at positions 524 to 772 of the family's 1533-position model. The record is from RNAcentral.
UACAGAGGGGGCCAGCGUUAUUCGGAAUUAUUGGGCGUAAAGGGCGCGUAGGCGGCCAAGGCAGUCGGCUCGUGAAAGCCCGGGGCUCAACCCCGGAGGUGCGGCCGAUACUCUUUGGCUGGAGGCCGGAAGAGGAGGGUGGAAUACCCAGUGUAGAGGUGAAAUUCGUAGAGAUCGGGGGGAAUAUCAGUGGCGAAGGCGCCCUUCUGGACGGCAACUGACGCUGAGACGCGAAAGCGUGGGGAGCAAA